AGAAUCAACGCUGGCGGCGUGCCUCGGACAUGCAAGUCGAACGCGAAAGGUUCCUUCGGGAACCGAGUAGAGUGGCGCACGGGUGAGUAACACGUAGGUAAUUUGCCUUUGGGUGGGAAUAACAGCCGGAAACGGCUGCUAAUACCGCAUAAUGCAGCGGACUCGACAUCGAGACUAGUUGUAAAGGCGGGGAUCGACAAGCCUCGCGACCUAAAGAGAGCCUGACGGCAGAUUAGCUUUGUUGGUAAGGGUAACGCCUAACGAAGGCGACGAUCU
This 276-nucleotide ribosomal RNA is filed under the name uncultured soil bacterium. Its description in RNAcentral is "partial 16S ribosomal RNA". It matches the Rfam family "Bacterial small subunit ribosomal RNA", at positions 26 to 282 of the family's 1533-position model. The record is from RNAcentral.